This 78-nucleotide transfer RNA is filed under the name SAR86 cluster bacterium SAR86B. RNAcentral's name for it is "tRNA-Ala". It matches the Rfam family "tRNA". Rfam says of the family: Transfer RNA (tRNA) molecules are approximately 80 nucleotides in length. Their secondary structure includes four short double-helical elements and three loops (D, anti-codon, and T loops). Lineage: Bacteria; Pseudomonadati; Pseudomonadota; Gammaproteobacteria. The record is from RNAcentral.
UGGGGCUAUAGCUCAGCUGGGAGAGCACCUGCUUUGCAAGCAGGGGGUCCGCGGUUCGAUCCCGCGUAGCUCCACCAA